RNAcentral lists this ribosomal RNA (435 nucleotides) under uncultured Conexibacter sp. RNAcentral describes it as "bacterial SSU rRNA". It matches the Rfam family "Bacterial small subunit ribosomal RNA", at positions 355 to 775 of the family's 1533-position model. The record is from RNAcentral. Lineage: Bacteria; Bacillati; Actinomycetota; Thermoleophilia; Solirubrobacterales; Conexibacteraceae.
UGGGGAAUCUUGCGCAAUGCGCGAAAGCGUGACGCAGCAACGCCGCGUGCGGGAAGACGGCCUUCGGUUGUGAAAUCCGCAUUUCAGUUGGGACGAAGCUUCGCCGGUGAACAGCCGGCCGGAGUGACGGUACCUUCAGAAGAAGCCCCGGCUAACUACGUGCCAGCAGCCGCGGUAAUACGUAGGGGGCAAGCGUUGUCCGGAAUCAUUGGGCGUAAAGCGCGUGUAGGCGGCUAGGUAAGUCUGCUCUGAAAGCCCGGGGCUCAACCCCGGGACGGGCGGGGUGGAUACUGUCUAGCUCGAGUCCGGAAGAGGAGUGUGGAAUUCCUGGUGUAGCGGUGAAAUGCGCAGAUAUCAGGAGGAACACCCAAUGGCGAAGGCAGCACUCUGGGGACGUGACUGACGCUGAGACGCGAAAAGCGUGGGAGCAAAACA